This 1271-nucleotide long non-coding RNA is filed under the name Triticum aestivum (bread wheat). RNAcentral describes it as "long non-coding RNA (TAES_LNC003994)". Lineage: Eukaryota; Viridiplantae; Streptophyta; Magnoliopsida; Poales; Poaceae. The record is from RNAcentral.
GUUGAAUUACUUGCAGUGUCAAAGGUACAUGAGCAGAUAGUGAGCAUGACUCAUUAUGAUCAUUUAUAAAAGUUAGAAAGAAAAGUGAAUACAUAAUUUACAAAUAGAAGAAAAAAACAUUUUUUGCAAAAUAAUUUCGAUUCUUUAGAAGACGCAUUACUUAAGUUCUCCAAUGCUAGAGUUCCCAAUUACUCGAACUUGUCCAGACCCUGAAACAAUCUGGAACACAAAAUCUUAAUUAUUCCAAGUGUUGAAGCUAGAUGAGCAAGAAUAUGAACUUUUUAUUCCGUUGUACUUGUUUGAAGCAAUUGGAACACAAAUUUCUCUUGUAAAGCUUGCAGAUCUACCUGAAGAUUAAUAUGGGUAACAAGGAAGAAAUUAGUUUUGCACCUCAUUGUCUCAUGAUAUUCAGCAAAAGAAUAACUUGAAACAUUGUUUUAAAUAAAAGAAUAAUAUGAACUUUUGAGAAAACAUCAGUUUCGAUGCCAUUGUAACUUGUAAAGUACUUCCAGACGUAGAUGCCUGUGUUAACUGAUUCCCUGUAGUGCAAUGAAAAAAAAUACUUAGUGCAUGCAUCAUAGUGUGUGCCAAAAUAGUAAAAAAAAUUGAAAGAAGAACUGUGUGUAAGCAAAGAGCUCUCUACUAUGAUGGGAGAGAAAAAACCUUGUUUCCAACUUUGUCACUUUCAUGUGCCUUAUUCCAAAACUCUGAAUGUUGAAGAAAGGGCAAUGUGGAUAGCUUGCAAUGAAAAGCAUCUUGAAAUUGUAAGACACUGCUGAAAUUUGUGUUAGAAUUUUGUCUGAAUCUCUCUCAGGAUCGAGAAUGUCAAAGCUCAUAUCAAUGAAAUUCGCAACAACAAGAAACUAAUAGGUAGGUCCUUUGGGUUUGUUGUGCACUGGGAAAGGGCUAUGCACCUGUUUUGGAGAAAAUGAUAAGGUACUGUGACAUUGAAGUAAAAAAUAAGUUGCAGAGAAUAUAUUUUUUGUUCCUUUCGGAAAGAAAGCUUACCAGUCCAGCUCUCUCUAGCCUAUAUCCAACACUGACCUCUGAGAAAAAUGUUUUAUGUUGAGAGUGAUCCAAAUGUGGAUUCAUCAGAAGCAUCUGUACAUGUUUUAAAAAUCUCACAAAAACUGAUUGUAUUGAGUACCUAUCAAUACAACUAAAUGAAGAAAAAAGUGAAGUUCAGACGCUUAACUUGCAAUAAUGUCUGAAUACAUAACGUGUGUCAAAACUUCAUUUGGUAAGCCUCCGCCAUUCUUCUGUCGCAUGUA